Molecule: long non-coding RNA, 820 nt
Organism: Erinaceus europaeus (western European hedgehog)
Lineage: Eukaryota; Metazoa; Chordata; Mammalia; Eulipotyphla; Erinaceidae
Exons: 2
Source: RefSeq, a predicted model, not a curated record
UGAAGAUCCGAGAACAUGGAGCAAAAGGAGGGAAGAUGAGUACCGGUCUAGCCUGAACGGUUCCGGAAGAGGCACCGGAGGAAAGCCGGCCUGCAGGAGGAAGAGGAGGAGGAAGUAUCGCGAGGCCAAGUGCAGGCAAAGAGCUCACACACAGCAACAGCAUUCAGGCAGCUGGUGGUGUACAGAAGUCUCCUGCUCUGGGCCCUGUGUUGCAGACCUUCAAACAGUUUCCUUCCAGAGCUGCGGGUACAGCAAAGCCUUGGAGUUGAAGAGAGUGGACCUUGAGGCUGGGAAGGUGGUUCACAGCGCUGCAGGUGUGAGACCUGCUUCAACACCCAUGAAGCAGCUCCCUCUGCAGGUGGGGAGCGAGGGUUCUAAGCCAGGUCCUUGUGCUUGGCAAUAUGUGUGCUCAACUGGGUGCGCCACCACCCUGCCCCUUUCUCUCUCCCUAUCACCCUUUCCACCUCUCCCAUUUUUCCUAUAAAAUAAAAUAAAUACUAAGAGAGAAAGGAAUGAAUAAAGGAAGUAAGACAAGAAAGAGAGAGAGAGAGAAAGGGAGAAAGAAAGAGAAAGGAAGAAAGGAAGGGACUUUCUCAUGUAAGUACCAAAAAUGACUAUCAGUGGUUAUGUGAGGGGGCGAGGACUACAGACAAAUGCGGGGCAGGACUUCGAACAAGACAGUUUGUGGGCUUUGAACACUGACUUCUCUAUGCGUAAAGUACAAUGUUUGCCAAGUCCUUAACCCAGAUUCAAGCCCGGUCCCCAUCAAUGGAGGUAGGUCAGUGCUGUGGUGUCUUUCCCUCUCUCUGUCUGUCUCUCU